Long non-coding RNA from Oreochromis niloticus (Nile tilapia), 999 nucleotides. RefSeq lists it as uncharacterized. The record is from RefSeq and is a predicted model, not a curated record. NCBI's taxonomy places the organism in Eukaryota, Metazoa, Chordata, Actinopteri, Cichliformes, Cichlidae. The transcript has 4 exons.
UUUGCUUUGUGUUCUGUCUGUGUAAAGUUUACCUUGGAGUCUCAGUGUUGUUACUUUUUUGGAGUUCAGCAUUAAAGCUGUGUUUGAGUUCACGUUUCGUUUCCCCUUAAGAGGAAAGUUAGGCAGUAACAAGCCCAGAACCCAUGAAGAGCUGAGGGACACUCCAUUUUCCAGCCAGAGGGCUGGUGGGGUGCUUACACAAGGCUGCCUUUAACAAGCUGAAUGGAGGGAGGGCAAUGCCAAAGGGAGGAAACACUCCCAGUGCUGAUGUCCCUGUUGCUGUCAUGAAUGUUAAACAACAAUGCUCGUCUAUAUGUUCCAGCAGUGUGGUUAAGCUGUAUUGAUCUCAGAGUAGAGCUGCUGCUCCUGCGUGUCGAAUGGAGCCUGUUGAGGUGGUUCAGCUUUCUCGCCCGGGGACGCCUCGGGAUCCCUCAGGAGGAACUGAAAAGCGUGGCUGGGGAGAAGGACAUCUGGAAUACCCCGCUUAGCCCACUGCCACCACAACCCGACUUUGGAUAAGUGGAAGACAAUGAAUGUUUAUCAGAGUUUGGAAAAUGAUAACAGCUUCCAUUCUUUUGCUUGUUUUUCUCUCUUUCGUAGACACUCAAAGGCUAGACUAGUACCUGAUGAUUAAUUUACCCUGAGAUUUGACUGGCACAUGGCAUUUAUCCUGUGGUGAAACAUUUCUGUACUGAUGAGAAUGCGCUCUUCCAGGAUGACAACACUCCCAUUCAUAGGGUUCAAUGCAUCACUGAAUGGUUUGAGGGAUUUGAAAAUACAUUUUGCAGUCAGACAGUUUUGGACUGAAGUGUACCCUUAUUAAUCAACCACAACCAUAAUAGCUAAUGAGGGAAUAUCACUUGGAAAAUUUAAAUUUUAUUCCUCCCAUAGAGUUCAAUCAACCCUUGUUUUUCUUUCUUUUGUUUUUUGUUUUUUUUUACAUUUCACACUUGCCUGUACCGUGCCAUCAGUUAACCUGGAGCAGAAACACCUUAAUAG